AUGGCUGAAACUAAGUCAGAUCAAGGAAGCCCAUCUCUCUUUUCUCCAUACAAGAUGGGAAAGUUCAAUCUGUCUCACAGGUGGUUCGUUCUGGCGCCGAUGACAAGAUGCAGGGCCAUAAAUAGCAUUCCUCAGCCUGCCAUGGCGGAGUACUACGCCCAAAGAGGAACCAAUGGUGGCUUUCUCAUCACGGAGGGCACCAUGAUCUCCCCAACUGCUGCCGGGUUUCCGCAUGUGCCGGGAUCUUUACAAAGGAACAAGUGGAGGCAUGGAAGCAAGUGGUUGAUGCAGUACAUGCCAAGGGUGCUAUUAUUUUCUGUCAACUGUGGCACGUUGGCCGUGCGUCACAUGAAGUUUAUCAACCUGGUGGUGGUGCACCCAUAUCAUCAACGGGAAAGCCUAUAUCAAAGAGGUGGAGGAUAUUGAUGCCUGAUGGCAGCCAUGGGAUCUACCCUAAACCACGUCCAUUAACAACAGCGCAUGAGAUUGCGCAAGUUGUGGAAGAUUACCGCCAGUCGGCCUUGAAUGCCAUUGAAGCCGGUUUUGAUGGUAUUGAAAUCCAUGGAGCACAUGGCUACCUAAUUGACCAGUUCUUGAAAGAUGGGAUCAAUGAUCGGACAGAUGAAUAUGGUGGAUCUGUUGCAAAUCGCUGCAAAUUCAUUGUGCAGGUGGUUCAGGCUGUUGUUUCAGCAAUUGGUGCAGAUCGUGUUGGUGUCAGAAUUUCCCCUGCUAUUGACCAUCUUGAUGCCAUGGACUCUGAUCCACUAAGCUUAGGCCUGGCAGUGAUUGAGAGACUUAACAAGCUCCAACUGAAUUCAGGCUCCAAGUUAACAUACUUGCACGUGACUCAACCUCGAUAUACAGCGUAUGGCCAGACAGAAGCAGGCAGACAGGGGAGUGAAGAGGAGGAGGCCCAACUAGUGAGGACUUUGCGAAAAGCUUAUCAAGGAACUUUCAUUUCCAGUGGUGGGUUCACCAGAGAGCUAGGAGUUGAAGCAGUAGCUCAGGGUGAUGCUGAUUUGGUUUCCUAUGGUCGCCUUUUUAUCUCAAAUCCAGACUUAGUUUUACGCUUUAAGCUAAAUGCUCCUUUGAUUAGGUAUAAUAGAUCUACCUUCUAUACUCAUGAUCCUGUUGUAGGAUACACAGAUUACCCUUUUCUAAGCAAUGGUACCAGUGGCAAUGUACCACAAUCACGUCUGUAAUUUGCAUGUUGUUCUAUUAUGGUUGAGGACUUGAUAGGUUUAUGCCUUCAACUUGACUGGUUUUGUUUAACGUCUCAUCUGCUUUUAUAAUGGAAGUUUCCAGUGUGUUCUUUGAA
Molecule: non-coding RNA, 1318 nt
Organism: Coffea arabica (coffee)
Lineage: Eukaryota; Viridiplantae; Streptophyta; Magnoliopsida; Gentianales; Rubiaceae
Source: RefSeq, a predicted model, not a curated record